AGUGAACGCUGGCGGUAGGCCUAACACAUGCAAGUCGAACGGCAGCACAGUAAGAGCUUGUUCUUACGGGUGGCGAGUGGCGGACGGGUGAGGAAUACAUCGGAAUCUACUUUUUCGUGGGGGAUAACGUUGGGAAACUUACGCUAAUACCGCAUACGACCUACGGGUGAAAGCAGGGGAUCUUCGGACCUUGCGCGAUUGAAUGAGCCGAUGUCGGAUUAGCUAGUUGGCGGGGUAAAGGCCCACCAAGGCGACGAUCCGUAGCUGGUCUGAGAGGAUGAUCAGCCACACUGGAACUGAGACACGGUCCAGACUCCUACGGGAGGCAGCAGUGGGGAAUAUUGGACAAUGGGCGCAAGCCUGAUCCAGCCAUACCGCGUGGGUGAAGAAGGCCUUCGGGUUGUAAAGCCCUUUUGUUGGGAAAGAAAAGCAGCAGGUUAAUACCCCGCUGUUCUGACGGUACCCAAAGAAUAAGCACCGGCUAACUUCGUG
This 492-nucleotide ribosomal RNA is filed under the name uncultured bacterium. RNAcentral's name for it is "partial 16S ribosomal RNA". It matches the Rfam family "Bacterial small subunit ribosomal RNA", at positions 29 to 507 of the family's 1533-position model. The record is from RNAcentral.